UCUCCGUUGGUGAACCAGCGGAGGGAUCAUUACAGGACUCGCAAGACUCCUACAACCCUGUGAACUUAACUAUAAGCACGUUGCUUCGGCGGGUGUCUCGGAGGGGGUUCUCCCUCCCCGAGACGCUAAACCCGCCGGCAGCCUACUAUACUCUGUCUCUUUGCGUUGGCAUCUCGAGUACAAUCAAACAAGUUAAAACUUUCAACAACGGAUCUCUUGGAUCUG
This 225-nucleotide unclassified non-coding RNA is filed under the name plant metagenome. Its description in RNAcentral is "partial contains small subunit ribosomal RNA, internal transcribed spacer 1, and 5.8S ribosomal RNA". The record is from RNAcentral.